AGUUUACAACUCCCAAACCCCUGUGAACAUACCGAUUGUUGCCUCGGCGGAUCAGCCCGCUCCCGGUAAAACGGGACGGCCCGCCAGAGGACCCCCAAACUCUGUUUCUAUAUGUAACUUCUGAGUAAAACCAUAAAUAAAUCAAAACUUUCAACAACGGAUCUCUUGGUUCUGGCAUCGAUGAAGAACGCAGCAAAAUGCGAUAAGUAAUGUGAAUUGCAGAAUUCAGUGAAUCAUCGAAUCUUUGAACGCACAUUGCGCCCGCCAGUAUUCUGGCGGGCAUGCCUGUUCGAGCGUCAUUUCAACCCUCAAGCCCAGCUUGGUGUUGGGACUCGCGAGUCAUAUCGCGUUCCCCAAAUUGAUUGGCGGUCACGUCGAGCUUCCAUAGCGUAGUAGUAAAACCCUCGCUACUGGUAAUCGUCGCGGCCACGCCGUUAAACCCCAACUUCUGAAUGUUGACCUCGGAUCAGGUAGGAAUACCCGCUAAACUUAAGCAUAUCAAUAAGCGGAGGAA
Molecule: ribosomal RNA, 514 nt
Filed under: Fusarium sacchari
Lineage: Eukaryota; Fungi; Ascomycota; Sordariomycetes; Hypocreales; Nectriaceae
Description: eukaryotic LSU rRNA
Rfam family: 5.8S ribosomal RNA (bases 146-299)
Source: RNAcentral